Molecule: long non-coding RNA, 1949 nt
Filed under: Cricetulus griseus (Chinese hamster)
Lineage: Eukaryota; Metazoa; Chordata; Mammalia; Rodentia; Cricetidae
Description: lncRNA (ENSCGRG00015040615.1)
Source: RNAcentral
CUCUGGGUGUGCUUUACGGACAAGUGCACAGCAAUGAUGCACAGAGCAUAGCAACCACCCUGGGAGGGCCUAUGGACCAUAACAACCAGUUGGCCAAUCAACACAGGGCAAACCCUCCAAGCCUGGAGGCACACCAAUCCUGAGCCUGUGCAUACCUCUAGACACUCCCCUUAUGCUGCCCUAUAAGAUCUCUAUGCAGUGGCUUCGAAGCGUCUUUUCUAGCCAUCCUUCAUGGUGGAUGAAUGAAAGGCCCGAGCUAACAUGGGGUUAGCUCGUUAAACAAUUGCAAUAAAGCCUCGUGCUUUUUGCAUCAAGUUUCUGCCUCUGCAUGGUGAUUGGGGUGGCCGCGGUCAUGGGCUGAGAUCCUGGGGGCCUGAGCCUCUGGAGGUCUUUCAUUUGGGGGCUCGUCCUAGAUUUGAGACCACCCGUCACCUGAGUGGAGUCGAUCUUGGAGGAGUUCCUCUGCCAUGUGCUAUGGGUUAGAGUGUGCUGCGGUGGAGUCCCCUGAGGCUGCUGCUCUGAACUCCAACCACUGCUGGGCCCUCACAGCUGAGCCUGGCUGGUGCAGUUUAUAAUAUCAGACAGACUGCCAGAUCCUGACAGGGACCCAAAGUCUCCAAAGAAGAUUAUGAGGCACCCCAGUUCCUGCACCUGGAUGAUGACGACAAUGACCAGUGAGCGAGAUGCUCAGAUGUGACACCUGCUGCCUGCCAGGACCUGGCCGAAACUGUGGACAAAACUGCUGGACACUGGAAAAUUGAUUGUACCCCUUUGCCUAGACAAAACAAGACACAUCUGAGUAUCGGUUGCUGACUACAGGCUGUUUCUAAGCAGACUGCGGGCCCUGGACUUGCUGUGGAUGUGAACCAGUCCAGCUGAUAUGGACACCCCCUGUCUCUGCAACAGAGUCUGCCAACCAGAAGCUCCUGAUGAUUCCCCAUUGCCUAAAUUCCCUUUUUUGCUUUUGACUAGCAUUUCAGCCUUCUUUGGUCCCUAACUUCGUCCCAAAGUCAGCAGGAAGUAGCAUGGGAAAGAAUACAUCACCCAUUUUCCAGGGUUGAAAUGCUAAGUCAGAAGGAACUCCCUUCAUAAGGGAUGCUAAUAUCUCUCACUCCCUGAUGGGGAUGCUGGAGAGACAGCAAUUCCAUGAUUGGAGUCUCCAAAAAAGAAAAAAUGGGGGAAUGAAGGGACCAGCUCCCCAUUUCGGCAGCCAUAACAGCCAAACACAUACUUGCCUGACCUUGUCUUGGUCACUAGGAGAUCAGAUGCCUGCCUCGUGGCAAGGAACCAAUCAGAAGUUAGCUGGCGGCGCUAUGCUUUACAGCUCUGGGUGUGCUUUACAGACAAGUGCACAGCAAUGACGUGCAGAGCAUAGCAACCACCCUGGGAGGGCCUAUGGACCAUAACAACCAGUUGACCAAUCAACACAGGGCAAACCCUCCAAGCCUGGAGGCACAACAAUCCUGAGCCUGUGCAUACCCCUAGACACUCCCUAAUGCUGCCCUAUAAGAGCUCUAUGCAGAUGCUUUGAGCUGUCUUUCCUAGCCAUUCCUAGCCAUCCGCCAUGGUGGAUGGAUGAAAGGCCUGAGCUAACAUGGGGUUAGCUCGUUAAACAACUGUAAUAAAGCCUCUUGCUGUUUGCAUCAAGUUUCUGCCUCUGAAUGGUGAUUGGGAUGGCCUCGGUCCUGGGCUGAGAUCCUGGGGGCCUGAGCCUCUGGGGGUCUUUCAUUAGUCAGGUUUUUGUUAUCCCUUCACUUGGGGUUCACUUCCCUGUAUGACAUCUGCAGGGAUUCCCCUCAUUGAACCAAUCCAUUUCUGUCUCUCCUUAGAAAAUGAACAGGUUUCUAAGGAAAAGUAAUAAGAUAAAACAAAACCAAAAAUAUGUUGGGGAAUAUUAGAUCACACUGUGAAGCUCGAGUUUGCAUUGAUUGAAUAAAAUUAACCUUGGG